GGAGCCCAUUUGCCUGGUCCACGGUGGACCGAAUGGUGCACAGAGGAGGACGUGGACCGCAUGGGCAUUUUCCAUGCAUUUCUCACAGUCCACAGUACUGUUUCAUGGACCAACACACGAUCGGAGGGCGUGGGUAGUUUUCGAUCAUGAUCCAACGGUCCAGGUCCUUAUAUGGGCAUGAUUAGGAGUUCUAACCAUGAUCUAAUUGGUGUUUUAACCCUUUAAAAGGGCCUGAUCAUGUAAUAGAGGGGGUGGUGGCUCAUUUUUCAUGAGGUCAUGCGGUAACCCAGAGAACAGAAUCCCG
Molecule: long non-coding RNA, 304 nt
Filed under: Elaeis guineensis (African oil palm)
Lineage: Eukaryota; Viridiplantae; Streptophyta; Magnoliopsida; Arecales; Arecaceae
Description: long non-coding RNA (EGUI_LNC014901)
Source: RNAcentral